UGCUUAGCCGUAAACCUAGGUAGUUAAAUAACAAAACUACUCGCCAGAGAACUACUAGCCACUGCUUAAAACUCAAAGGACUUGGCGGUGCCCUAGACCCUCCUAGAGGAGCCUGUUCUAUAAUCGAUAAACCACGAUACACCUCACCCCUUCUAGCUUUACAGUCUAUAUACCGCCAUCGUCAGCUCACCCCAAUAGGGCUCUAAAGUGAGCAAGAUCAUUAAACCAUAAAAACGUUAGGUCAAGGUGUCGCAUAUGAAGGGGGAAGCAAUGGGCUACAUUUUCUACAAUAGAACAUAACGGAUUGUCUAUUGAAACAUAGACAUGAAGGAGGAUUUAGUAGUAAAUUAAGAAUAGAGAGCUUAAUUGAAAUAG
RNAcentral lists this ribosomal RNA (375 nucleotides) under Pseudantechinus macdonnellensis (fat-tailed pseudantechinus). RNAcentral's name for it is "partial 12S ribosomal RNA". It matches the Rfam family "Bacterial small subunit ribosomal RNA", at positions 793 to 1370 of the family's 1533-position model. Lineage: Eukaryota; Metazoa; Chordata; Mammalia; Dasyuromorphia; Dasyuridae. The record is from RNAcentral.